This 420-nucleotide unclassified non-coding RNA is filed under the name fungal sp. RNAcentral describes it as "partial internal transcribed spacer region". The stretch from base 1 to 46 matches the Rfam family "Eukaryotic small subunit ribosomal RNA", at positions 1786 to 1831 of the family's 1831-position model. The record is from RNAcentral. Lineage: Eukaryota; Fungi.
AAGUCGUAACAAGGUUUCCGUAGGUGAACCUGCGGAAGGAUCAUUAACACGUUAUCCAACGUAUCAACCAACGAGAAUCGUUUUCACAUCUCCCGGAAGCAAAGAAUGAGUGGAAUCCGAGCAACGCAUUGAAAGGGAUAGCCUCGGCGUCAGCCUGCUCUUAUCACUUAGGCAAAUCGAAAGGUUUGCUUAGACACUGUAUUUUUGCGGAAGGCAAAUUGGUCUGCGGUGGUGCUUUCCUUUCAUUGAGAAUCACUGCAGGCUCCUAUUUUUUUUUUACCUAUUUCACCCCCCUUUUUGCUAGUUGACUUUAAUACUGUUGUUCUUUUUUUUCAAACGCUUGCGUUGGGAAACGAGUUCACACGUUUAAUUAAUUGAACGUUAAAAAUACAACUCUUAGCAAUGGAUAUCUUGGUUCUC